Molecule: long non-coding RNA, 239 nt
Organism: Oxyura jamaicensis (ruddy duck)
Lineage: Eukaryota; Metazoa; Chordata; Aves; Anseriformes; Anatidae
Exons: 3
Source: RefSeq, a predicted model, not a curated record
GCACAAACUCCUUUACAGCCUAACCCGAGACACUGCAAAAGUAGACUGAUUUUUACAAGCUUGUGCCUCAAAAGGAGACCAUGAGAAGAGACACAGAACGAAAAACAGCAGCAUGAUAGCCCACAGAAUACCUUUUGAAAGCUCCAGAGUGACGGCAGCAGGUUGGAUAUAAUGAACAGUGUUACAAAUGGGGACACGAGACGACAGGUUUGGUGAAGAAGGAGUCUCCUGGAAACUGU